Molecule: small RNA, 180 nt
Filed under: Chelonoidis abingdonii (Abingdon island giant tortoise)
Lineage: Eukaryota; Metazoa; Chordata; Testudines; Testudinidae
Description: TUC338 (ENSCABG00000004439.1)
Source: RNAcentral
UUAAUAAACCUGGAGCCUGAAGUCCUUCCUUUCCCCCACAGAAUAGGUACGAUAUGGAUAAUAGCUGUGCAGGCUUCCUCACACUCCCUGGCCAAUGUGCUUCAAUCCUAUUCUGGAAGAACCACCUUUACAGAUGGGACAGUGCGCCCACCCACUCCUGGCCCUUGCUGCUGAGAUUUC